GAGAGAGAGAGAGAGAGAGAGAGAGAGAGAGAGAGAGAGAGAGAGAGAGAGAGAGAGAGAGAGAGAGAGAGAGAGAGAGAAUGACUUCACCAGGAUGGGGUCACAAAGCUUAAGUUUACUUUAUAAUGUGUGUGUUUGUUCCAUCCUGACAAGGCUUCCACGCCCUCCACCUCCUUAACAGCCCUUCAUGGCUUGUCUCACACACACACACACACACACACACACACACACACACACACACACACACACACACACACACACACACACACACACAC
This is a long non-coding RNA of Portunus trituberculatus (swimming crab), 275 nucleotides long. RefSeq lists it as uncharacterized. The record is from RefSeq and is a predicted model, not a curated record. NCBI's taxonomy places the organism in Eukaryota, Metazoa, Arthropoda, Malacostraca, Decapoda, Portunidae. The transcript has 2 exons.